Molecule: long non-coding RNA, 205 nt
Filed under: Mytilus galloprovincialis (Mediterranean mussel)
Lineage: Eukaryota; Metazoa; Mollusca; Bivalvia; Mytilida; Mytilidae
Source: RNAcentral
AAUUAAUGAAAGACGUGUGAAUUUAAUAUUUUCAUUAAAAAAGACGUUGAAAUGUUCGUAUUUUGUGCAAUUGAAAAUUUAAGGACAUGAUUUACAUACAUAUAAGAAAUCAGACGAUACCAAGAGAAUAUUUUGACCACUAGUGCAACACUUACAGGUCGGAAGAACAAAGACGGAAAACAAACAAAAAAUAAACAAAUUAGGC